Molecule: RNA transcript, 4729 nt
Organism: Oncorhynchus gorbuscha (pink salmon)
Lineage: Eukaryota; Metazoa; Chordata; Actinopteri; Salmoniformes; Salmonidae
Gene name: upstream stimulatory factor 2-like
Exons: 11
Source: RefSeq, a predicted model, not a curated record
UAUUUUGUGAGACACGACGGACGCUGGUUUACUGUAGAGGUUGAGAGGAUAAAAAAACCGAGCGUGAGAAAACAUUUACCGAAAUUACUCGACGAAUCACUGUGCCAUAACCUUGCAACGAAACAAUUCCAACAGUCCAAGUUGCUAUCCUGACGACACAGACUCAAUUUAGCAGUGCGAGUGGCGCGAGUGAAACCGUGAGAACGAAAGCUUCGAGAGCGACAUAAACCCCAGCCAGCGCCAGCGGUCUCCAUUUUAACUUCGAGUCCGAUCUAUGCCUCACGUGUCUUGGACUGUCUCUCUCACAUGACCCGAGUGUUUGUUCCCGUGAUCAGCACUUCCAUCUACGCGUCUGUGUCAGUGAAUAUCACAUUUUAUUCCAACCCUGAUGGAUAUGCACCUCGAACAGAGUCUGGACACCGCGACAAGUCACGAAAAACAAGAAGAGGAGGUCGUCCAAUUAGAAGGAGACGGGGAAGGGGAGCAGACUGCUGUUACCAUAGGCAGUAUUCAGCAGGCCCAGGCAUUCGCGGACCACAACAUUCAGUACCAGUUCCGCUCUGAGGGUGGUCAGGUGACUUACCGCGUUGUCCAGGUAACUGACCAGCAGCUGGAGGGGAGAGAUGACGGGGGAGGGCCGGUUAGCGUGGUCUCCACGGCCGCCUUCCCCGGCGCUCCUCAAGCAGUGGCCCAGGCUGUGAUCCAGAACCCUUUCAGUAAUGGGGGUAGCCCCGUGGGAGAGACGCUGGGAGGGGAGACGCGCUUUGCCUACUUCCCAGCUACGGCUGUGAGCGACGGCACUGUGUCUGUGCAGACCACCUCCGACCCCACUCAGGCCGGGGGUCAGUUCUACGUGAUGAUGACCCCUCCUGACGUCUUGCAGACAGGCACACAGCGAACCAUAGCCCCGCGCACACACCCCUACCCUGAAGACGAAACCGAGAUGCUGCAACAUGACGGUUUAAACUGGAAAAUGGAUGGCCCACGGACACCCAGAGAUGAGAGGAGGAGAGCUCAACACAAUGAAGUUGAGAGGCGGCGGAGAGACAAGAUCAACAAUUGGAUCGUCACGCUCUCCAAAAUCAUCCCCGACUGCAACAUAGACAGCACCAAGACGGGGGCUGUAAGUCACUCUAGUAAAGGGGGCAUCCUGUCUAAGGCGUGUGACUACAUCCGAGAGCUCCGUCAGAAUAACCAGAGGCUCCUGGACGGUGUCAAAGAGGUGGAGAGAGUACAGGUGGACAACGAGCUCUGCAGACAGCAGGUAAAACAGCCUAGAAAGAAGGCAAUCCCAAAGAAUCCGAGUCCUAGCCUGGACCCGGAUCUGUUAGUGCCGUCGUGCCAACUUCUACGUGUAACGCCAGGGUAGUGGGUUCAAUUCCCGGGACCACCCAUACGUAGAAUGUAUGCACACAUGACUGUAAGUCGCUUUGGAUAAAAGUGUCCGCUAAAUGGCAUAUUUCUAUUGUCAGGCACAACAUAGGAGUUGGCAAGACUGCACAAACCGAUUUUGGGACCAGACUAUCACAUAGGAUCACAUUCCUGCGAACAGAAAGGGUUCAUGUUCGAACAAAUGUACGCGUUUGAUUACGUUUAACGUUCAAUUUUACGUCUGACGACCGACGUGCCGUUUUUACUUCAGAAUUAGGUUAUAGCAUAUAUUUGCACGGAGAGUGUUUUGCCUUUUCAUUCCUUACUGAAUCCCAAAGCACUGUUCUUCAUGUCCUCAUUCUAAUGCUCAGAAGUGAAGUCUCCAGUCCUGUGGGGGAGAGAGAGGCAAUCGAGGAGCUGAAGAAUGAGAAUGCCCUUCUCCGAGCUCAACUCCAGCAGCACGGCAUCGAGAGCGUGGGCGAGACGCCACCACAAUGAACGAGGGAGACUGGGAGAGCAGGACGGGUAGAAGGAAGAGGAGGACGAGGCAGACUGGAGAUGACACGUAGGAGCAGAACAAAACGAACGAGCUACUGACGAAUCACUCUUUUUCACAGUCUCUGACAGUUAAGACAGUCUUUCCUGGGCUCGUCUUUGAGGCUGCAUCCCGAGACUCUUGGCAGGCUCCUGCUGCUUUGUUGGCUGCACUCGACUGAUCCAGGAUCAGUCGAAAUGACAAAAGAAGCCACCGUGUAGACCAUAGACAUGUCUCAGAGAGAGAAGAGGUCACAACCACCAGAGAAAGACCCUCUACUAGCCCAGAGAAACCCACUGCACAACUCCUCCCUCCCUUUCUAGAUUUAUUUACUUCCUCACCUGUGGACUGUGACGUUGGAUAUUUUGUUGUUCUUUUCCCAUUCUCUUCAGUCAUGUUUUAUUUUAGUCUGUAUUUGUGGUUGAGGGUCAUAUUACAGUUUUGUUACGUUAGCAGUUUUUAAUUUAUUAGUUUGUGUAUUGUUAAAAAUAUUCCCAGAAAGACUCAUUUAGAAAAGCUCAUGUAUCCUGGAGGAAUAGAUGAUGUAUGAGUGAGUGGUAGCCUACCGGCCAGUAGAACAGAGACACGAUACAAAUAAACCGCUGCAUUGCAGAACUAUGUGAAAGAAUUCCUUGAUAGUUGCCAAUAUUAUUAGAAGUAUUGGGACGGUGACACAUUUUUAGUUUUGGCUCUGUACUCCAGCACUUUGAAAUGAUAUAAUGACUAUGAGGUUAAAUUGCACAAUGUCCGCUUUAAUUUGAGGGUAUUUUCAUCCAUAUCGGGUGAACCGUUUAGAAAUUAUAGCACUUCUUGUACAUUGUCCCCACCAUUUUAGGGGAUCAGAAGUAUUUGGAUGAAUUCACUUGUGUAAUAAAGUAGUCAAAAGUUGGGUAUUUGGUCCCAUAUUCCUAGCAUGCAAUGAUUGCAUAAAGCUUGUGACUCUACAACCUUGUUGGAUGCAUAUGCCAUUUGUUUUGAUUUCUAUUGGUCACAAAAUAAUCUGAAAUAAUGCAUUGACAUUUUGGAGCCCCUUUUUAUUGUACAUUAGUUUCUAAACACUUGUACAUGAAUGUGGAUGCUACCAUGAUUGUGGAUAAUCCUGAAUGAAUCGUGAAUAAUGAUGAGUGAAAGUUAGACGAACAAAUAUUGUAACUCGCAAGACUUGCUAACCUCUCACCAUUACAAUAACGGGAGGUUAGCAUAUUUUGUGGGGGGGUAUGAUGUUUAUGCCUCUAACUUUCUCACUCGUCAUUGUUCUCGAUUCAUUCGGGGCUGUCCAUAAUCACAAGCUUUUUGUAGUCACAAGCUUGGCGUAAUCAUUGUGUGCAUGGAAUGUGGGACCAAAUACUAAACCUCUGAGUACUUUACAGCACUUAUUUUAUAUUUUUUUUUUUUUUUUUUUUUUUUUUUUUUUUUUUUUUACAUAGUUCCCCCCUGAUUUUUAGGGGACCAAAAGUAUUGUGACAUUCAUUUGUGUAUUAAUUUAUAAACAGCACCGAUAUUGAUGACAAUGCCCUCAAAUUAAAGCUGACAGUCUGCACUUUAACCUCCAUCAUAGCAUCAUUUCAAAUCCAAAGUGCUGGAAUACAGAGCCAAAACCACUAUCUCAAGGAUGCAAUUUUGGUAUACCCAGAGGAAUAGCUGUGCUUUGCCCAAUAUCACAGUUUUACAGUGCUUGCAUUAACAGAGUUGUUGUUAAAAUAGCAUCAAUGCAACGUUAUAUAAAUAUGUCAUGUUGAAGUAAAGCCAAUGGCCACUGGCGUUAGUGGGAAAAUAAAUGGUAAUCAAUAAUUCAUUUACUGUGUACGCUGGCCCUUUUCUACAAUUAUGCAAUUUAAUACACAAUCUUUAAGGCUGGUUUGAGACUGGCUGGGUUCGAUUAUAGAGCAUUUGAUAGACCACUGAUACGGCCUCUGAGAGAAAGGUGGAGCUCUUAAAAUGUCACCUGACAUAUGAAGUGAGUGCAAAUGUAUAUGAUUCUGGGUGGAACAUCACAGGUUGCAUCUGAAAUGGCACCCUAUUAUGUAGUGCACUACUUUUGACCAACAGUGAUUUAUGUAAGGGAUAGGGUGCCAUUUCAGACACCACCAAGUUUUUAAUUUCAACGUGUCACGUUUAAAACUCACUCUUGAGAAAGCGCAUUGAGUUCACUGCUGAGCUAAAUUUAGUGGCUACAGAAGUCUGGAUGUUUUUUGCGAAUGUGUGUGUGUGUGUGUGUGUGUGAUGCAUCUGUCUUGAUAUGUAAGAAUAACCACAAGUAUCAUGUCUAGCGUUUUGGCUUUUAUUUUUCUAACCAACACAUCAAAUGGAGAUUAAUGUACCCAGGGAGAAAGACUCUGGAGAGAAUAAAUGAACCAACUCACUGCUCAAGAUAGAAACCAAGAACAGAGAAACUUCCCGUUCUUGUACCUCGUUUCUGUGUUCUGACUCGCCUCUCCUUGCAAACGAAUGGAUGCUAAUAAAGACUUGGGGAAACAUUUUCAUCUCAGACACUCUUUCACUCAUCUAGGACAAUAACCAAGUUGAAAUGCGUUCAACGUGCAAACAGGCAAGUUGAUGAUACCAAUGUUACUGAUGACUGGAUUUGCAUUGUGUAUUUUGUCCUGAAUUUGGGGAAAUGGGAAUAGGUCAAUUUGUGUUUUAAUCUCUGAUCAGGGUGUUUUAGGCAUGUACUGUCUGGCUCUGGAAUCAGCAAAGCAGCACUAAUACUCAACCCGGUGAAAAGUCAUGUAUACUCAAUGAUUCCACCUCGACAAGCUAUCCUACUCUCUGACCUUGUGCUUUUGUAAGUGCAGAAUAAAAUUGUUAUCCUGUUUUGCUCAA